GGCGAUCAGAUACCGCCCUAGUUCUGACCGUAAACGAUGCCAACUAGCGAUCCGCCGGUGGUAAUUACGCCCCGGCGGGGAGCUUCCCGGAAACGAAAGUCUUCCGGUUCCGGGGGAAGUAUGGUUGCAAAGCUGAAACUUAAAGGAAUUGACGGAAGGGCACCACCAGGAGUGGAGCUUGCGGCUUAAUUUGACUCAACACGGGGAAACUCACCCGGCCCGGACACCGUAAGGAUUGACAGAUUGAGAGCUCUUUCUUGAUUCGGUGGUUGGUGGUGCAUGGCCGUUCUUAGUUGGUGGAGCGAUUUGUCUGGUUUAUUCCGAUAACGAACGAGACUCUGGCCUACUAACUAGUGACAGGAUUAUUGCUGUCCUGGUUACUUCUUAGAGGGACAAGUGGUGUUCAGCCACACGAAAUUGAGCAAUAACAGGUCUGUGAUGCCCUUAGAUGUCCGGGGCUGCACGCGUGCUACACUGGAGGAAACAGCAUGCAAAACCAUUGCCGAGAGGCAUUGGUAAACCGAAGAAAAUCUUCCGUGAUCGGGAUCGGGAAUUGCAAUUAUUUCCCUUGAACGAGGAAUUCCCAGGAAGUGUGGGUCAUCAGCUCGCGUUGAUUACGUCCCUGCCCUUUGUA
Molecule: ribosomal RNA, 634 nt
Filed under: Anaplectus sp. Konza IIIAA-129
Lineage: Eukaryota; Metazoa; Nematoda; Chromadorea; Plectida; Plectidae
Description: SSU rRNA
Rfam family: Eukaryotic small subunit ribosomal RNA
Source: RNAcentral